This 107-nucleotide small nuclear RNA is filed under the name Macaca fascicularis (crab-eating macaque). Lineage: Eukaryota; Metazoa; Chordata; Mammalia; Primates; Cercopithecidae. The record is from RNAcentral.
GUGCUCACUUCAGCAGCACAUAUACUAAAAUUGGAACGAUACAGAGAAGAUUAGCAUGGCCCCUGCGCAAGAAUGACAUGCAAAUUUGUGAAGCGUUCCAUAUUUUU